AUUGAACGCUGGCGGCAUGCUUUACACAUGCAAGUCGAACGGUAACAGGCCUUCGGGUGCUGACGAGUGGCGAACGGGUGAGUAAUGCAUCGGAACGUGCCCAGAGGUGGGGGAUAACGCAGCGAAAGCUGUGCUAAUACCGCAUGUGAUCUGAGGAUGAAAGCGGGGGACCCAGCAGCAAUGUUUGGCCUCGCGCCUCUGGAGCGGCCGAUGUCAGAUUAGGUAGUUGGUGGGGUAAAGGCCUACCAAGCCGACGAUCUGUAGCUGGUCUGAGAGGACGACCAGCCACACUGGGACUGAGACACGGCCCAGACUCCUACGGGAGGCAGCAGUGGGGAAUUUUGGACAAUGGGCGCAAGCCUGAUCCAGCAAUGCCGCGUGCGGGAAGAAGGCCUUCGGGUUGUAAACCGCUUUUGUACGGAACGAAAAGGCUCUGGCUAAUACCUGGGGCUGAUGACGGUACCGUAAGAAUAAGCACCGGCUAACUACGUG
This 492-nucleotide ribosomal RNA is filed under the name uncultured bacterium. RNAcentral's name for it is "partial 16S ribosomal RNA". It matches the Rfam family "Bacterial small subunit ribosomal RNA", at positions 30 to 507 of the family's 1533-position model. The record is from RNAcentral.